This 1505-nucleotide ribosomal RNA is filed under the name Pseudomonas sp. Its description in RNAcentral is "bacterial SSU rRNA". It matches the Rfam family "Bacterial small subunit ribosomal RNA". The record is from RNAcentral. Lineage: Bacteria; Pseudomonadati; Pseudomonadota; Gammaproteobacteria; Pseudomonadales; Pseudomonadaceae.
GAGAGUUUGAUCCUGGCUCAGAUUGAACGCUGGCGGCAGGCCUAACACAUGCAAGUCGAGCGGCAGCACGGGUACUUGUACCUGGUGGCGAGCGGCGGACGGGUGAGUAAUGCCUAGGAAUCUGCCUGGUAGUGGGGGAAAACGCUCGGAAACGGACGCUAAUACCGCAUACGUCCUACGGGAGAAAGCAGGGGACCUUCGGGCCUUGCGCUAUCAGAUGAGCCUAGGUCGGAUUAGCUAGUUGGUGGGGUAAUGGCUCACCAAGGCGACGAUCCGUAACUGGUCUGAGAGGAUGAUCUGUCACACUGGAACUGAGACACGGUCCAGACUCCUACGGGAGGCAGCAGUGGGGAAUAUUGGACAAUGGGCGAAAGCCUGAUCCAGCCAUGCCGCGUGUGUGAAGAAGGUCUUCGGAUUGUAAAGCACUUUAAGUUGGGAGGAAGGGCAGUUACCUAAUACGUAUCUGUUUUGACGUUACCGACAGAAUAAGCACCGGCUAACUCUGUGCCAGCAGCCGCGGUAAUACAGAGGGUGCAAGCGUUAAUCGGAAUUACUGGGCGUAAAGCGCGCGUAGGUGGUUUGUUAAGUUGGAUGUGAAAUCCCCGGGCUCAACCUGGGAACUGCAUUCAAAACUGACAAGCUAGAGUAUGGUAGAGGGUGGUGGAAUUUCCUGUGUAGCGGUGAAAUGCGUAGAUAUAGGAAGGAACACCAGUGGCGAAGGCGACCACCUGGACUGAUACUGACACUGAGGUGCGAAAGCGUGGGGCGCAAACAGGAUUAGAUACCCUGGUAGUCCACGCCGUAAACGAUGUCAACUAGCCGUUGGGAGCCUUGAGCUCUUAGUGGCGCAGCUAACGCAUUAAGUUGACCGCCUGGGGAGUACGGCCGCAAGGUUAAAACUUAAAUGAAUUGACGGGGGCCCGCACAAGCGGUGGAGCAUGUGGNUUCAAUUCGAAGCAACGCGAAGAACCUUACCAGGCCUUGACAUCCAAUGAACUUUCCAGAGAUGGAUUGGUGCCUUCGGGAACAUUGAGACAGGUGCUGCAUGGCUGUCGUCAGCUCGUGUCGUGAGAUGUUGGGUUAAGUCCCGUAACGAGCGCAACCCUUGUCCUUAGUUACCAGCACGUAAUGGUGGGCACUCUAAGGAGACUGCCGGUGACAAACCGGAGGAAGGUGGGGAUGACGUCAAGUCAUCAUGGCCCUUACGGCCUGGGCUACACACGUGCUACAAUGGUCGGUACAGAGGGUUGCCAAGCCGCGAGGUGGAGCUAAUCCCAGAAAACCGAUCGUAGUCCGGAUCGCAGUCUGCAACUCGACUGCGUGAAGUCGGAAUCGCUAGUAAUCGCGAAUCAGAAUGUCGCGGUGAAUACGUUCCCGGGCCUUGUACACACCGCCCGUCACACCAUGGGAGUGGGUUGCACCAGAAGUAGCUAGUCUAACCUUCGGGAGGACGGUUACCACGGUGUGAUUCAUGACUGGGGUGAAGUCGUAACAAGGUAGCCGUA